This 413-nucleotide long non-coding RNA is filed under the name Mytilus galloprovincialis (Mediterranean mussel). Lineage: Eukaryota; Metazoa; Mollusca; Bivalvia; Mytilida; Mytilidae. The record is from RNAcentral.
CUCUAGCUAUAAAUGAUCCCUUUUGUACAAUCCCAAUAAUAUCACAAAACAUUAUCACAGGCACCUUUUGCAUACAUUUUAUGUUAAUAAAAAAAAUAUUAAAAAUUCUCUCAUUAAGCUUCCAUGCAGUAAACAGACUGUCAGAGGCAUUGACAGAUAUUAAAAUAUUUAUUACAGUGCAUUUUCCAAGAUGAAUAGAGAGGCUAAUAUAAAGGGACAAUCAAACUCAUUAGUCGAAAAUUAAUUGGCAUUGCCAUAGCAAAAAAAUAAAUAAUAAAUAACUAACAGGACCAAUGUACUACACACUCUUAAUAUAACAUUUUGCUUAUAAUUUUUUUUUCAGUACAGCAAACGGGAAUAAAUUCAUGUACUGUAUCUUUCGUGUAAAUCAAGCAAAGAAUAUUUAUUCACAG